GUAGUACUCCCUCCGUUCGGAAUUACUUGUCACAAAAAUGGAUGUAUCUACAACUAAAAUACAUCUAGCUACAUUCAUUUCUUGGACGAGUAAUUCUGAAUGGAGGGAGUAUUUA
Triticum aestivum (bread wheat) is the source of this 115-nucleotide non-coding RNA. Lineage: Eukaryota; Viridiplantae; Streptophyta; Magnoliopsida; Poales; Poaceae. The record is from Rfam.